RNAcentral lists this ribosomal RNA (1435 nucleotides) under uncultured organism. RNAcentral describes it as "SSU rRNA". It matches the Rfam family "Bacterial small subunit ribosomal RNA". The record is from RNAcentral.
UAACACAUGCAAGUCGAGGGGCAUCAGGAAGAUAGCUUGCUUUCUUUGCUGGCGACCGGCGCACGGGUGAGUAACACGUAUCCAACCUGCCCUUUACUCGGGGAUAGCCUUUCAAAAGAAAGAUUAAUACCCGAUAGCAUAAUGAUUCCGCAUGGUUUCAUUAUUAAAGGAUUCCGGUAAAGGAUGGGGAUGCGUUCCAUUAGGUUGUUGGUGGGGUAACGGCCCACCAAGCCUUCGAUGGAUAGGGGUUCUGAGAGGAAGGUCCCCCACAUUGGAACUGAGACACGGUCCAAACUCCUACGGGAGGCAGCAGUGAGGAAUAUUGGUCAAUGGGCGCUAGCCUGAACCAGCCAAGUAGCGUGAAGGAUGAAGGCUCUAUGGGUCGUAAACUUCUUUUAUAUAAAAAUAAAGUGCAGUAUGUAUACUGUUUUGUAUGUAUUAUAUGAAUAAGGAUCGGCUAACUCCGUGCCAGCAGCCGCGGUAAUACGGAGGAUCCGAGCGUUAUCCGGAUUUAUUGGGUUUAAAGGGAGCGUAGGUGGACUGGUAAGUCAGUUGUGAAAGUUUGCGGCUCAACCGUAAAAUUGCAGUUGAUACUGUCAGUCUUGAGUACAGUAGAGGUGGGCGGAAUUCGUGGUGUAGCGGUGAAAUGCUUAGAUAUCACGAAGAACUCCGAUUGCGAAGGCAGCUCACUGGACUGCAACUGACACUGAUGCUCGAAAGUGUGGGUAUCAAACAGGAUUAGAUACCCUGGUAGUCCACACAGUAAACGAUGAAUACUCGCUGUUUGCGAUAUACAGUAAGCGGCCAAGCGAAAGCAUUAAGUAUUCCACCUGGGGAGUACGCCGGCAACGGUGAAACUCAAAGGAAUUGACGGGGGCCCGCACAAGCGGAGGAACAUGUGGUUUAAUUCGAUGAUACGCGAGGAACCUUACCCGGGCUUAAAUUGCAGUGGAAUGAUGUGGAAACAUGUCAGUGAGCAAUCACCGCUGUGAAGGUGCUGCAUGGUUGUCGUCAGCUCGUGCCGUGAGGUGUCGGCUUAAGUGCCAUAACGAGCGCAACCCUUAUCUUUAGUUACUAACAGGUCAUGCUGAGGACUCUAGAGAGACUGCCGUCGUAAGAUGUGAGGAAGGUGGGGAUGACGUCAAAUCAGCACGGCCCUUACGUCCGGGGCUACACACGUGUUACAAUGGGGGGUACAGAAGGCAGCUAGCGGGUGACCGUAUGCUAAUCCCAAAAGCCUCUCUCAGUUCGGAUCGAAGUCUGCAACCCGACUUCGUGAAGCUGGAUUCGCUAGUAAUCGCGCAUCAGCCACGGCGCGGUGAAUACGUUCCCGGGCCUUGUACACACCGCCCGUCAAGCCAUGGGAGCCGGGGGUACCUGAAGUACGUAACCGCAAGGAUCGUCCUAGGGUAAAACUGGUGACUGGGGCUAAGUC